AUAACCCUGGGGAAUGACAUGGUGGGGUGGGGUGCACAUGUGCACAUAUUCAUAUAUAUGUUUACAUGUGUGCAUGUGGAAACACUCCAUCUCUUAUGCCAUGGUUCAGACCCACAAUAGCAGUCCCAGCAGGGAGCCCUCCGACCCUGCCCAAGGCAUCCGUGCGGUUGACACCCUUGUGUUUUGCUUCUCCAGACAGCUCAGCAGCUCCUCCUCCUAUAGCGGGGACAUCAGCAGGCAGCACAACAGCACCGCAGAACUGCAGAAAGCUGGGGCCAAGAAGGAGGAGACCUGGAAGCUGAUGGAGGCUGACAAGGCGCAGACAGGGCAGGUCAAGCUUUCCGUGUACUGGGACUACAUGAAGGCCAUCGGACUCUUCAUCUCCUUUCUCAGCAUCUUCCUUUUCAUGUGUAACCAUGUGUCUGCGCUGGCUUCCAACUAUUGGCUCAGCCUCUGGACUGAUGACCCCAUCGUCAACGGGACCCAGGAGCACACGAAAGUCCGGCUGAGCGUCUAUGGAGCCCUGGGCAUUUCACAAGGGAUCGCCGUGUUUGGCUACUCCAUGGCCGUGUCCAUCGGGGGGAUCUUGGCUUCCCACUAUCUGCAUGUGGAUCUGCUGCACAGCAUCCUGCGAUCACCCAUGAGCUUCUUUGAGCGGACCCCCAGUGGGAACCUGGUGAACCGCUUCUCCAAGGAGCUGGACACAGUGGACUCCAUGAUCCCGGAGGUCAUCAAGAUGUUCAUGGGCUCCCUGUUCAACGUCAUCGGUGCCUGCAUUGUUAUCCUGCUGGCCACGCCCAUCGCCGCAAUCAUCAUCCCGCCCCUCGGCCUCAUCUACUUCUUCGUCCAGAGGUUCUACGUGGCCUCCUCUCGGCAGCUGAAGCGCCUCGAGUCGGUCAGCCGCUCCCCGGUCUAUUCCCAUUUCAACGAGACCUUGCUGGGGGUCAGCGUCAUUCGAGCCUUCGAGGAGCAGGAGCGC
This 979-nucleotide small RNA is filed under the name Pongo abelii (Sumatran orangutan). RNAcentral's name for it is "retained intron". Lineage: Eukaryota; Metazoa; Chordata; Mammalia; Primates; Hominidae. The record is from RNAcentral.